This is a non-coding RNA of Acanthosepion pharaonis, 100 nucleotides long. The record is from the annotation of a GenBank genome assembly. NCBI's taxonomy places the organism in Eukaryota, Metazoa, Mollusca, Cephalopoda, Sepiida, Sepiidae.
CACUGAUACGCCAGUUCCCAUACAAUUACAAAAGUUAAGCAACAUUGAGCCUGGUCAGUAUCUGGAUGGGUGACUGCAUGAGAAUACCAGGUUUUGUAAG